Long non-coding RNA from Chelonia mydas (Green sea turtle), 3801 nucleotides. RefSeq lists it as uncharacterized. The transcript has 3 exons. NCBI's taxonomy places the organism in Eukaryota, Metazoa, Chordata, Testudines, Cheloniidae. The record is from RefSeq and is a predicted model, not a curated record.
GUGUCCACCAAAACUCCUCCUUUGCAAUGGCAUUCACACACUGCCAGGUACCCGCCAGUCCUCUGUGCCGUGCUACUGCUCCAGUAAGUGCUAUCAGUGGGUGCGCACACAUCACUGUGCACCACCAGGCUCAGUCAGGAGUAACGGGAAGAGAUGGCUCAGAGGAAUUCUCUGGCACUCAUCCCAGAUGCAGGCCAAUUCGCAGACCUAGAAAGCCUCCCUAAUCAUUUUUUAAAUAUUGCUGCCCCGGACACUAGCUGAGGUUAAACUUGAUCUGGUGAUCUGCUUGGGGGAGAUCAGUGCCAUAGUUUGAGCCACAGCUAUGUGCAAAAAAUAUCAUAAGAAUGGGAUAAAUGUAAUGACAAGUCUUUUAUUUCUUGGCAAUGUACCUCUGGAACGGAACCCCUUGACUCAAUAAUCCAAAAUUUGCACCCCUAACCUCCCCUGGAUCCUGAUAAGGGAUGGCAAUUUCCAAGACAAUGGAGAGUUGCCUUUGAGGGCUGUGCUCAGCACAUGGAGACCAAGUAGGCUGGAUUUCUCCACACUUCAAAUACAAUUAACUCCUUUCCUCCAAGGAGAAAUUGGAGGCAGGAAGUAGCUGCUCAGGAAGCAUUGGCAGAAAAUUUCCUCUCUGGGAAAGGAAAAUUGGCCAUAUCCUGAAAGAAUUUUCAAAUGGAUUCAGUAUUUGCUGAAUGUUAUGGGCUCGAGUGUCCAGAGUCCAUCUUAUGGAAUCCAAAGUCUACUGAUGCCAUGAAAAAUGCCAAAUGUUUUUGGUGACUAAAAGAUAACAAUGACCAGGUACUUUCCCAAAUGUAGUCAAAUUCUUGCAUCUGAGUUCCGUUCAUAAUAAUAAUCAUAGAAAUGUAGGGCUGGAAGGGACGUCGAGUUAUUAUCACAUCCAGCCCCCUGUACUGAGGCAGGACCAAGCAAAUGUAGGCCAUCCCUGCCAGGUGUCUGUCCAACCUGUUCUUAAAAACCUCCAAUGACAGGGAUUUCACAACCUCCCUUAGAAGACUAUUCCCGUGCUUAACUACCCUCAUAGUUAGGAAAAACUUUCUACUGUCUAACCUAAAUCUCCCUUGCUGCAGAUUAAGUGCAUGACUUCUUGUCCUAGCUCUAGGCAAUAAUCACUGGCUCUUUUGAUCAAAUGGUCUCAAAGCACUUCACAAAGGAAAAUCAAAGUCAUCAUCUCCAUUGCAGAGAGGGGUAACUGCCGCCCACCAAACUAACUACCCCCUUGAAAGCUCAGCCGCAGCAGAAAGACAAAGCUGAUACAUCAUUGUAAAUACGUUAUUGUUCAAGCCCAUCUCUGCCACUCAACAGCCAGAAAUAAUAAAAUUAAAGCUUUCGCUGAUAAAUAGCAGUAAGCAACAAAACCUGAAGCCUGACUAUAGUCAAUGGAAAGAGUCCCACUGAUUUAAGAACUUAGAAUUUAAAAUAUAGACAUCAGUUGAUUCCCUUGUUCUGCUUUGUUCUUAUUCAUUCACCUAGCCCAAGACAAUUAUGUGCCUGCUCUGUGUAACGCAUGGAUCUCAUAUACUGCUGAUGCCCAGAUUCUGUGGGACUGCGUAUAUCUAACACAACACUGAAGACUUGUUCUUGAAACAGGAGGAGCUCGGUGUUAUCCUCUGUUGGGUUUUAUAAGCUAACAUGGUGGUGAUGAUAAAGAUACCCUCGCUGAAGAUGAGUUCUUCUACCAAUAGAAAGGGAGGGACUUGGAUGGGAGCCUGAACCAUUAAACAGUAUUUGCUUUGUGGUGAAAAGUGGAUCAGCAAUUUGCCAUUGCUGACAGUCUCAUUUUGAAACCAGCGAUGAAGAAAGUUAAGGUGAAUGAUGUGUCACUUGUACAUAGUGGGUCUGAUUCUCAUCCCAUUUGCUCUGGUGUAAUUCAGGAGGAGCUCCCAUAAAGUUAAUCCAGUUAUUAUCCUAGUCUAAAACUGACAUAAGAGGAGAAUCAAUCCCUUGGCUUCCAAUACACUUUAGUCUAUUUUAUUGGUCAUCUGUGUGAUCUCUUAAGCUGAUGGAAAAACUAAUCUAAAUUGAUUUUCAAAGAAACACUGGUAUAAAUUGAGAUUCAGGUCCCACAUUUCAGUUUUCUAAAAAUAAAGGGUGGGAGUACACAACCUAGAGAGAAUACAAAUGUUUCCACAACACGAAAAGAGAAAAGCCUAGGAAAACAGUUGUUUCAGAUGCACACACUGGUUUUCAUUGUCAGAAACGCGAACACAACUGCAUUCUGCUGGCACAUGAGAACCAGAGAGAGAGACUUGCUGGAAACUGAAAUUGACCCAGUGUAAUUUCACCCUCCAGGCUGAAUAAAAUGCAAAAAGUAAACAAACAGAAUACAUGGUGAAAAAGAAAACCCAUGGUUGAAAUUAUUUCAGUUUUUAAAAUGUAAGCUUUUGUCAUUAACUAGAGCGGAGUGGAUAAUGAAAAAACAGAUUUGCAAAUAUGUUGGUGAAUUAUACAGCCCUUUUUGGUGAGCUUGCUCUUUUCUCUGUGUUUGACCCUUAUCUUGCAAAUGUUAAUGUAUUUGCUGAAUUUGGGACAGAUUUAUCAGACUUAACUGGAGGAUGGGUAUCACAAAUAUAUACUUAAACAGUUACACGUGUUUUAACUGGUUCAUUGGAGAUCCUGCACUCCAGCCUGUCACUUUCCAGUGAGCUUCACUGUAAUCACAGUGAAUCACAAUGAAAUUCUUUUGUGUGUGGGUAGGGCACUCGCAUGGCAAACCCAAAUUCAAGUCCUUGCUCUACUUGAUUCAGAGCAGAGUUUUUCAUCCCAGACCACUAUAAAUCAAGCAGAGGAGGAACUUGAAUAUUCCACAUCUCAGGCCCUAAUCACCAAGGUAUAGUCGGUCUCUCUCUUUCUUUGACCCAAACUUUCCUGAAGAAAACGUCAUGGCGACUGAUACAUCCCUGCAAUAUGUUUCAGCUUCAAUGAAUCAGCAAUUUUACCAAAAUGUAAUUUCAGUUACAAUAUUCUGACUAGCUCUACUCAUGACACAAUAUGUCUGUCUCAUUCGGAUUAUCAUGGGAUUUCACUUCACUCUUAUGGAUUUGAUGGGUUUAGGCCUGGCCCAAUGCCUCCAUGCUCUCGCUAUUCUUAGCUGCUGGAACUCCUCUUAUUAGAAUAGCUCUGCUCUAACUUACACCAACCGCAGGCACAUAGCGGCACUGUAUAGCUACCAAGGUGACACAGAGCCACCUGUGCAACCCCUUAGGUUGUGCGCUGAGUGCAGCCUGUAGUAGGGCUGUUGUUUCAAACUGCCUAUUUGCAGGGUCAGACAGUAAUGGAGCACGUCACAUUUGCAAGGUUUUCUUUGCACACAAAUACCUACAAACUUAAUAAAAAACCCAAAGCCAUAGAUUCAUAGAUUUUACAGCCAGAAGAGACCAUUACAAUCAUCUAGAUUGACCUAUUGUACAAAAGGUCUGCUUUCCAGAAGGUCACAGCAUUUUACCCCAUGAUUUCUGCAUCAAAGCCAUAACUUUUAGAUUAGCUUUGACAAAGCGUUUAAAUUCUGCAUACUCUGACAAAGUUAACAUUUUGAAGAAACUGCUGGAGCCACUAGAAAAGUACCAGGACACUGUGCCACCACCUGCUGUAACUAAUCUAAGUGCUGCAGACAGAAAGAAUUGUUAGACACCGUAACUCACCCACUCCCGGGGAGAGGAACCAGAAACCCUGGUACAAUAUGGUUUGUAACACAGUUUUGAUUAUAUUUGUUUAGCUUUAUACACACACACAGACACUCUCUCUCUCUCUCUCUGAAUUAUAGUUAUGCUGUAAAGAUGCUUU